RNAcentral lists this ribosomal RNA (795 nucleotides) under uncultured bacterium. RNAcentral's name for it is "bacterial SSU rRNA". It matches the Rfam family "Bacterial small subunit ribosomal RNA", at positions 8 to 796 of the family's 1533-position model. The record is from RNAcentral.
AGAGUUUGAUCCUGGCUCAGAUUGAACGCUGGCGGAAUGCUUUACACAUGCAAGUCGAACGGCAGCACGGGAGCUUGCUCCUGGUGGCGAGUGGCGAACGGGUGAGUAAUGCGUCGGAACGUACCGAGUAAUGGGGGAUAACGCAGCGAAAGCUGUGCUAAUACCGCAUACGCCCUGAGGGGGAAAGUGGGGGAUCGCAAGACCUCACGUUAUUCGAGCGGCCGACGUCUGAUUAGCUAGUUGGUGGGGUAAUGGCCUACCAAGGCGACGAUCAGUAGCGGGUCUGAGAGGAUGAUCCGCCACACUGGAACUGAGACACGGUCCAGACUCCUACGGGAGGCAGCAGUGGGGAAUUUUGGACAAUGGGGGCAACCCUGAUCCAGCCAUUCCGCGUGAGUGAAGAAGGCCUUCGGGUUGUAAAGCUCUUUCAGCUGGAACGAAACGGUACGCUCUAACAUAGCGUGCUAAUGACGGUACCGGCAGGAGAAGCACCGGCUAACUACGUGCCAGCAGCCGCGGUAAUACGUAGGGUGCGAGCGUUAAUCGGAAUUACUGGGCGUAAAGCGUGCGCAGGCGGAUUGUUAAGCAAGAUGUGAAAUCCCCGGGCUUAACCCGGGAAUGGCAUUUUGAACUGGCAGUCUAGAGUGCGUCAGAGGGGGGUGGAAUUCCACGUGUAGCAGUGAAAUGCGUAGAGAUGUGGAGGAACACCAAUGGCGAAGGCAGCCCCCUGGGAUGACACUGACGCUCAUGUACGAAAGCGUGGGUAGCAAACAGGAUUAGAUACCCUGGUAGUCG